CAAUACUCGCAACACCUUGUAGCUAGUACUCCUGCGGUCUCCUCCAUGGGUGGGAACUGUCGGUCUCCAUGGCAUCUCCUUGGAGACUCUGACGUCAAUGGCCUGGAAUAUUCCCAUAUCCCAGUUCCAGUAGCUCAGUUCCUUUGAAGAUCAAGAAGAAGCAACGUGUCUUGCUGGAAGAGAAGCUGUGCAAGCCUUCCACUGUGUUGCAAAACCAGCGCAGCGGAGCAGCGCGAGCAUUCUCCAACCAUGGAAGGAUAGAGCUGGAUCGUCUGAGGCAGUAGGCUGCAGGAGCUAUUGUAAGUUGAAACCGUACAUCUGUAGCUUGUUUUUGCAUGUUUUGUUGCAGCUAGCUAGCUAUAUAGAUUAGAUUGUUCACUCUGGAGUUUGAGCGUAUUGGCGUUGCGCGCUGUUUGUUGAGAGUAUGGAAGGUUUCUGUUUGGUAAUUAUUUUGCUCUUGUAUUCUUGUGUUAAAGUGUGGCCCCUUCUUGACUGUGAGGUGUGUAGGUCAUGCAGCUUAAUAGAUACAUACUUGCCAGCAAAGCACACGUUAAAUGCAUGUAUGCAUGGCUAAACUCGUGUCGGCAACGCUUUUUAGGUACUGUUAUAUACGCGUGGCUAAGAGUCUAUUACCUGCAUGGCCUUGAACCCUUUGGUGGUGGGGGAGGGGGGGUGGUAUUCGUAGCACUCAAGUAAUCAAUCAGAAUGUGUGUGGACGGUUCUUCAACAGUCGGGUCGCAGGACAGCAUCUUCUUGUUCUUGGAGCCGUUGUCGAACCAGCCUUCGGGGUGCAAUGAUGGAUUUCUCACGGCACUCCAGUCUACCGGAGGGAGCACUCUGCUGUUAGUACCUGCCUAAUGGGAAAGCAGCACAGGGUAUGUUCCCCCGGGAGCAUAUCCUGCCAUAAUAGGGAGUGUUGAGAUCUCGUUACAGUUCCAAUAGUUAGUUAGCUAGGAUCUUUAGACAUCAUAGUUAGUCGACUGCUGGUUUUUAGCUAUGCGGCUUGGAUAUAGUUAUAUUAUGAUGCCUUUUUUCAGUCAAGGAUGGAAUUGGUAAGUUCAGGCUUUAACUAAACCCUAGGUGUGCCAAGGGAACUGUAGCCUUUGACUGGAUUAGUAAAGAGUAGUCUUGAGCACUUGUGCAAGCCUUGCGUGCCAGGCUUGUUGCAACUGGAGUCGACAAGGGCUUCAAGAGCAAGGAGGUGUUGUCUCUGUGAGUCUACUGUUGUUGAACCAUCCCACACAUUCUGGUUGAUUAUUUCUCUGCUCGUUAAUGGUACUCACAGUCACAGGGUCCCUUUAGUUUAUUAUGCCCUUAUUGUAUUAGUCCCUUGAGCAAGGAAACUACUGGUGGUAAUGUUCUCAAUGGUGGUGGUGAUGUUGUCAGUUCUGGUGGUAAUUGGUUGGUAUUAUGUUUUCUACGGUUGUGGAGAUUUGUUGAUGAUCGGUUUUGUUUAAACUGCUGCGCUCAAUGUAACCAUGCAUUUGCUUGUUCUCUUGCAGCCACAAUGCACACACACACAGCUCCUCCUACUAGCUACUGUACUAGUGUUCCAUUCUCUCACUGCUUUUGUCUCCUCUGUCCCCCAGGUACAAACAAGCCACGCUACCAAGGAGGAUUACUAACUUGAUCCAAUGACUGCAUAUCUGAUAUUGAAGGGGGUGGGGCUUAAUUGUAUCUACGUCUUGGGGGAGGGGCUCGGAUCUCAACGCUUACUAUACUUACUAGUAUACUAUCAUUGUACAUGCUUAAUCAUUAGUUAUUGUCUCAAUUAUGGCAAGUCUUGCUAUGUGGUGUAGUGGUAUACAUUCUAUGUAGGUGGAUUGUCACUGCAUGGAGAAAAGAUGAGUAUAAUAAUUAUAUGGCUACAUGUACAGUAUGUGUCGUACGUAUAGGUUGGUUGUGUGUGGAGAAGCUAGCUAUGUUAUGUGGCAAGUCUUUCAUGCUCUCUGUGUAGGUUGAUUGUAUGUGGAGGAGCCACUGUAACAGCAUACACACAGAUGAGUAGCUAGCUAUGUUGUGUGACAAGUCUUCAUGUUCCCAAUGUAGGUUGAUCGUGUGGAAGAGUCACUAAUUCAACUGUAACAGAUGAGUAGCUUAUGUCAUGUGACAAACCUUUUUAUGCUCUCUGUUUAGGUUGAUUGCGUAUGGAUAAGCCUUUGUAACUGGAGAGAGUUUCACACUAACAAGCAAUUAACUCUGGCAUGCCUGUAGCAACAAGCUCAAAGAUCGAGUUAGAGCAUCCAGAAUUAUGGCAUGAGGGUCAUCCUGGGCAAGCCUCCUAGGACUCCAAGUUCACCUCUGCAUAGCGAGCUAGGAUGGACUACUCUAGAACAGCGUUGAGAAGAGCUUAUGCUGGUACAAGUCCACUGCAGCAUCAUUAAAACUGCACCUAAGACUUAGGCUAAGUACUUGCAAGAACUAUUCACAAAGAACUCUGAACACAGUAGCAGACAAGCACAAGUAACAACUCGUGGACAAGAUAACUCCACCUUCCAAGACCAUCCACUGAGCUACUCAGGAAAAGUUUCAGUUUUCAAGGAGCUCUCAAGUACAAUGCGCUUCCUCAAGAACUAAGAAAACAAAAACAGUACCAGCGUUCAAGAACAGUAUACACAAACUGUUCUCCAACUGCAACUAAGCCAUUAUUUUUUCUACUUUCUUGUCUUUUGUUCAUGUCUGCAUAGUAUACAGGACCUUCAUUAAAACCCACACUGUGGAUGCAGCAUUUCCUGCCCAAAUGUGGUCAGUCUCAAUAACAAUUCAUGUUUUUAUCACUUAAUAACAGUUACAGAAACUCAUUCUUUCUCAAGUUUGUUGAUUCACCCAUGUUCUUCUGUGACA
This is a long non-coding RNA of Halichondria panicea, 2844 nucleotides long. RefSeq lists it as uncharacterized. Lineage: Eukaryota; Metazoa; Porifera; Demospongiae; Suberitida; Halichondriidae. The record is from RefSeq and is a predicted model, not a curated record. The transcript is spliced from 2 exons.